CUGACACAAAGAAGCAGGUGUGAGACCGGCCCCUUUCUCCCAUACCUUAGACAGGGCUCCAGGGACUGCUUCAGGGGAGAUGUCAGAGGGCAGCAGGGACCGGGAAGGGAGGAAGAAAGCAGAGUGACAGUGAGAGGUGGGAAAACUACAAGAGGAAUUGUUUGUACGCUUGGAUCUGGACUUUUAGAACUGGUCAGGACCUGACAGAUCCUCCAGCCCAGCUCUCCCGGCUCUCAAACACUGGCAUCAUUUAUAAUUCCCUGGAAAAUCACCAGCAGGUAAAUGAAGGAGAAAAGAAAAGAACAAAAUCCACCGGGAACCAGAGACUUCCAGGCUCCAAAGACAGGCAAUCUCCACCAGGAAACACAGGAGAAGCCCUGAAAAGUUAGUCUUCUGGAAGAGAAAUUUACAUCUACAAAGGAAAUCUCCAUUUGUAAGUGUGUCUUCUUCUGCACUAGGAAGAGAAGGAUGACUAAAUCAGAGAAGUCUCUUGUCAGAGAAAGCACGGACUUCAGUC
This 517-nucleotide long non-coding RNA is filed under the name Pan troglodytes (chimpanzee). RNAcentral describes it as "lincRNA". The record is from RNAcentral. Lineage: Eukaryota; Metazoa; Chordata; Mammalia; Primates; Hominidae.